This 216-nucleotide long non-coding RNA is filed under the name Mytilus galloprovincialis (Mediterranean mussel). Lineage: Eukaryota; Metazoa; Mollusca; Bivalvia; Mytilida; Mytilidae. The record is from RNAcentral.
GCCACAAAACCAGGUUCAACCCAUCAUUUUUAUCUUUAAAAAUGUCCUGUACCAAGUCAGGAAAAUGACCAUUGUUAUAUUAUAGUUCGUUUCUGUGUGUGUAGCAUUUUAACGUCGUGUUUCCGUUGUGUCGUUUGUUUUCUCUUAUAUUUGAGUGUGAAUUCACAUUUCUAUAAGACGUGUCACGGUACUUUUCUAUCCCAAAUUCAUGUAUUU